Molecule: long non-coding RNA, 263 nt
Filed under: Panax ginseng (ginseng)
Lineage: Eukaryota; Viridiplantae; Streptophyta; Magnoliopsida; Apiales; Araliaceae
Description: long non-coding RNA (PGIN_LNC004282)
Source: RNAcentral
GAGCUUCGUUGGGAAGGUUGAAGGAAGGAGUUGUCUCCCGUCCCGGCUUUUCGGUUUACUUAGUUGUCUGAGGUGGGUCUCCGCUACUAACGUUAGGGGUAGAGGCCCAUGCCAGUAGCACCAGUGGUUGGUUGCUAUGAGGUAACUCGCCCUGUUAGUCAUUAAUGGUCGGCUUAAUUAGUACCCUUUCGGUAUGUGUUGCGAACACUUUCAUUUUUAGCUUCUCAUCUUCUCUAGAGAAGCUAAACUCGAACGGAUAGAAC